Molecule: long non-coding RNA, 630 nt
Filed under: Pan troglodytes (chimpanzee)
Lineage: Eukaryota; Metazoa; Chordata; Mammalia; Primates; Hominidae
Description: long non-coding RNA NONPTRT017419
Source: RNAcentral
UCUGGGUUGUGUCCCCUUCGCUUCCUCUCACCCUCGCUCCCCCGCGGAGCCAAGGAGCCAGCAAUUGUGCAAGAGGAGACCGGCGCACAGGGCGCUUAUCACGGAGCGCAUGGUACGAGCCGCCGGCUCCGGUGAUUAAUUAUCAGUAACCGAUGGCCUCGCGCUACCACGUCGGCUUUCCCAGCAGAGCCAGCAAGCCGAACGCCUCCAGCGCGGCCGGGACGGAGGAGCGGCUCUGGGGAAGACGCCGAGGCUGCGCCCGAGUCUGAACGAAACUGCCUCCAGCCACAUGAAGUCAGUAGGGCUGUUCUGAGGGGCCCUGAGAUUUGAUGACUGUUUUUUAGGUUGCGGAACCUACUCCGAGAGCGCAAACACUUUGGACGAAGUGAUUCAUAUUGAUAGAUACAUUUGUUGGGUGGUGGCUUUUUUCAUUCUCAACAGAAAACAAAGAAAUAAAUUAAGUCUUCCCCUGACCCAGACUGUACUGUGAAACUUUUCAAAAAUGUCUCUGCUUUCUUUUACUUCAGUAUCCUUUCCCCUUUUUCUUUUAAGACGCCCUUAGGGAAACCAUGAAGUAACCCUGCACAUUCCAGUAACACAGUUAUGACAAAACAAGAGCCUAACUAGGAA